RNAcentral lists this long non-coding RNA (2594 nucleotides) under Mus musculus (house mouse). RNAcentral describes it as "long non-coding RNA chr7:96745363-96747957". The record is from RNAcentral. Lineage: Eukaryota; Metazoa; Chordata; Mammalia; Rodentia; Muridae.
AGCGUCCCCAACCUGAGCCUGCCCCCUUACCCCCAGCUGAAAGACACGCUCUUCCUUCUCUACUCUCCAAUCCGAUGAAGUUACCCAUGGGAGAGGGUUUUUUCAGUAGUGGUUUGAUCUUUGCAACUGAUGGCUGGGCUUUCUGUUAUCUCUUCUCGCUGUCAGUUACUAAAAGCUGCUUCUCUAGUCUACAAGAGAUGCCAGUACAUCAGCCAUGAGAGCUGUCAGUACCUUUCCUCUUUCCCUUCAUGGUGAUACUGACAAAACGUACAGCCUUUUGCCUUGUAACCCCUUGUGCGUAUACACUAGCUCCAGGAUGAGGGGCUCUGCUGGUACUGGCACUGGUGGUGGCUAGCGAAGGGGGUGAGAAAUAAAAGGGCAGUGGGACUGUGCCUGGAGAGAUGCUGUGGUCCAGAGGAAGAACAGAGGCUUGAAUCUCAGCCAGAGAUGAGAUGAAUUCUAGCUGCCAUGUGCAGGAAUCAUGGGGGUUUUGUCUAAGAGGUGUGGGUUUUUUUCCUAAGUCUCAGGCUCACCAAACACUCCUAUAAAAACCUACACCAGGACCCCACAAUGCUGUGAAAACAUCAAUAUCUUCUUAUUUAUUUUCGUCUUUAUUCAUUUGCUGAGUUAUCUACACGGGUAAGUGCUGGAGACUUAGCAGCGAAUAAAACAAGCCUUACCCUCAAAGAACCUACAAUCAAGAGGGAAAACUGACCCUUUCAUGAGUAAUUACACCAUAACGAGGUCUGCAGGAACAGAGAGGCCCGUGGGAGUUCUUGUGGGCAUGGAAAGGAGGGCUGUCCCCACUGCCAAGGUUGUAGGAGGAGCUGUGAGGAACAAAGGGCCACUGUGAGGAGCGCUGAGUAUGCUGGAAAGCACUGUGUAAAUAUUUUCAGCAACUCAGGGCCAGAGCAGAGGUGGAAACCCAGAAGAGUAUAGUAGUGUUUGGAGGACAUGUGUGGGGGAUGUCCCAAGACCCCAGUAGUUUUCUGAAUCAGUAGAUAACAACAAACUCUGUAUGCCUUCGUGUGUGUGUGUUUGUGUGUGUGUGUGUGUGUGUGUGUGUGUGUGAGAGAGAGAGAGACUAUGAUAGAGUUUAAUGUAUAAAUUAGGCAAUGGUAAUUAGCAAUAACUACUAGAGUGCUUACAAAAGUGUGCUGCAAUUAAAGUUAUUGAAAGUGAUCCCUCUCAGAACAUAUUUUAAUAGAUAGAAGAUUUUGAAUGUCUUCAUCACAAAUAGAAGAUUAAUGAUAUGAUGGAUAUGUGAAUUAUCUUUGUUUAAAUACUGCACACUAUGUGGACAGAACAAAGCAUUAGUAUUAUAUUUUGCUAUUUUACAUUGUGUGUGUGUGUGUGUGUGUGUGUGUGUGUGUGUGUGUGUGUGUGUGAAUACAUUUGUAAAAGCAUCUCCUACUCUGUGCUGACUAUCCUCGGUUGAAGAUGAGUGAUUGGUGCCACAGAAAACAGUUUUAUAAAAGGGGAAGAAAGCUGUCACCAGGAAAAGGAAAGGGAGAAGAUGAGGAUGCUGGCUUGCUGCGGCUGCCAUGACGAAAUGCACAGGCUGAGGUCUUACAUUCUUUUCUUGCUGAUGUGGAAAGAAUUGGGUGCUGGCAGAAUUUGUUUCUGUGAGGUCUUUCUUGCUGGCUUUGACUUCCUGGGGCUCUUUGCCUGCAUAAGCACACAGAAGGCCAACGGAAUGUCACCUUGUCCUGAGCUUGAUGCCACCUUGUCCUGAGCUUAUAAGACACCUGUCCUGUCAGACUAAGGCCCCCAAUGAUACCCUGACUUGACCUUUAUUGCCUCCUCCUAGGCCUUCCAGUCCCUAUCUCCAAGUAAAUCCAGUCAUGUUGGGGAUAUGAACUUGGGAGGGGAACACAGUUCAGUCCAUGACAAGGAAAAACUGGAGACUUAAUGAGAAACAACUGCUUGACAGACAGAGAAAAUGACCAGAAAGGGCCUUUGCAACACCCAAAAGCAGAUUACAAAAUAAGGAUUCUUCCACAAUGCAAAAUAAAGCUCACACUAUUGAAAUGACUAGGUAUAUAUUAAAUAUCCAGUCGCUGGGGGGCUGCAGCCGGAAUCCAGGUCCACAUGGUCCUACUAUCUGCACUGUUCUUCAUUUCCUACUGAUUGACACACCCAGUGUAUCUAGGAAUCUGGGAGUGAAAAGAAAAAUAAGAUGAGAAUGUGUGCACCCAGAGAAGAAAAUGAAGUCAAGGCCAACCGGGAGGGGCUGUGUCGACCAGCUGGGAAGUCUUAUUUUGAAGACAGUAGGGAGUAUAAGGUGUUUUUUUAGGUCAAACUGUGGCACCCAAUGUGUCCUCGUGGACCUUAGACAGUGGCAUAUACAGAGAUGCUGGAUUCUCAGACUGACAAAGGGAGACCAACUGAAGGCUGACUGUGGAGCCAGAAGGGUUGGGAGAGGAGAGGGCCCGGCCUGGAGCACUGCCUAUACCUUUUCCUAAAGGAGAGGAUGAGCGUUACAGUGUCAUAGGCUGUUUUCUUGACCCCUUGCAUUUUAGCGUUAAGGAGAAGCACAAAAUUUUUAUCUUCAAUAUUGAAAAGACCUGAGUUUCAUGCCCAGAGCCCAUAUU